GAUGAGGUAGAAGAAUCGAUCUGGAAAGGUCAGCCAUAGAAGGUAACAGCCCUGUACUCGAAACUUCAUCCUCUCCUGAGUGGAUCCUGAGUA
This 93-nucleotide ribosomal RNA is filed under the name Aneurinibacillus thermoaerophilus. Its description in RNAcentral is "partial 23S ribosomal RNA". Lineage: Bacteria; Bacillati; Bacillota; Bacilli; Caryophanales; Paenibacillaceae. The record is from RNAcentral.